UACGAAGGGGGCAAGCGUUGCCCGGAUUUAUUGGGCGUAAAGUGUUUCGUAGGCGUUUUUGUAAGUUACUAUUCAAAGCCCGGGGCUUAACUCCGGAAAGGGUAGUAAUACUGCAAAAAUUGAAGAAUAUUGGGGCAACUGGAAUUGUCGGUGUAGGGGUGAAAUCCGUUGAUAUCGACAAGAACUCCGAAGGCGAAGGCGGGUUGCUAAAUAUUUCUUGACGCUGAUGAACGAAAGCUAGGGGAGCGAAAGGG
RNAcentral lists this unclassified non-coding RNA (254 nucleotides) under uncultured Patescibacteria group bacterium. Its description in RNAcentral is "contains 16S-23S intergenic spacer region". It matches the Rfam family "Bacterial small subunit ribosomal RNA", at positions 524 to 776 of the family's 1533-position model. The record is from RNAcentral.